AAUAGAACUAUAGCAGGAAUCGAACCUACGGCCCCGCAAUGCCGUUGCAGUGCUCUAACCAACUGAGUUAUAGAGUUCAGUUGUCGAGCUCCAACCACAGGUUCUUGUUUAUAUAACAGUAUAUAUAGUACAGGUGAUGCCAUUAUAUAAAAUAUGAACAGAUUGAAAGAUUUAUGUAGGAUGGAAAUUUCAAGCACAAAUUUCAAGAAAAAUCCCAAGCGCAAAUUAAGAUUUACAGCGUCAUAUUCCCAAAAAUCUCUAUAUUUAGCCACAGGUUCGAUUCCUGUCAGAUGACAGCAUUUUCGCAGCUGCUCCUGUAGUUAAGUCUAAAAUUGUAUAUAUAUUGAAUCUUUCGUUAUCAAUUUACAUCUACUGCAUGCAGGAUCGCCGAGAGAGAGGCAGAGGGGAACAUUAUCUCGGGCGGGGCUCGCAGAACAAGGGAUCCUUAAAAUUUAUUGAUGCAAGAUUGAUGAACUCAGAAUAUAAAUCCCAGGACCCAGAUGAUACAUCUAAAAAUCUCAAAAAAUUAAGAAAAUUGUCGGCAAAAAAUAAACGAUUUUAUGUCCGCAAAAUUUUUCCGGCACCAAAUGAACCAUUUGUCCGGCGCCAUAUGUCGUGAAAAGUUUUUUAUCAAGAUUAUACGUACAGUGUAAUUUACAGCAUGAGCUCCACAAUUUACUAUAUGAGUAAAUUGUUAAACGCGUCCAAAUUUAUCAAUAUGAUAAAUGCCAAAUUCGCGGCCCUAACCCUUAACCUUAAUUUUGUGUUACACAGCUUCGAUUAUGUUAUAUUUUCCAAUUAUCAGUAACCUUGCCCGCUCAUUCAAGUGCUACAGUAUGUA
This is a non-coding RNA of Paramuricea clavata, 841 nucleotides long. The record is from the annotation of a GenBank genome assembly. NCBI's taxonomy places the organism in Eukaryota, Metazoa, Cnidaria, Anthozoa, Malacalcyonacea, Plexauridae.